CAGCAGUGGGGAAUAUUGCACAAUGGGGGAAACCCUGAUGCAGCGACGCCGCGUGAGUGAAGAAGUAUUUCGGUAUGUAAAGCUCUAUCAGCAGGGAAGAAGAAAGACGGUACCUGACUAAGAAGCCCCGGCUAACUACGUGCCAGCAGCCGCGGUAAUACGUAGGGGGCAAGCGUUAUCCGGAUUUACUGGGUGUAAAGGGAGCGUAGACGGCUGUGCAAGUCUGAAGUGAAAGCCCAGGGCUCAACCCUGGGACUGCUUUGGAAACUGUAAAGCUAGAGUGCUGGAGAGGUAAGUGGAAUUCCUAGUGUAGCGGUGAAAUGCGUAGAUAUUAGGAGGAACACCAGUGGCGAAGGCGGCUUACUGGACAGUAACUGACGUUGAGGCUCGAAAGCGUGGGGAGCAAACAGGAUUAGA
Molecule: ribosomal RNA, 417 nt
Filed under: uncultured Clostridium sp.
Lineage: Bacteria; Bacillati; Bacillota; Clostridia; Eubacteriales; Clostridiaceae
Description: bacterial SSU rRNA
Rfam family: Bacterial small subunit ribosomal RNA
Source: RNAcentral